RNAcentral lists this transfer RNA (92 nucleotides) under Streptomyces goshikiensis. RNAcentral's name for it is "tRNA-Arg". RNAcentral also lists the same sequence under 1 other name. The record is from RNAcentral. Lineage: Bacteria; Bacillati; Actinomycetota; Actinomycetes; Kitasatosporales; Streptomycetaceae.
CGUGGAUGAGCAGCGCGGGCCGCGAGGGGUCCUCGCCCUCGAUGCGCGCGAUGGUCGAGGCGCGCCCCUUGUGCGACUCGAAGAUCUGCGGC